GACGUAGGGGGCGAGCGUUGUCCGGAUUUAUUGGGCGUAAAGCGCGCGUAGGCGGCUGCUCAAGUCGGAUGUGAAAUCCGGGGCUCAACCCCGGACCUGCAUUCGAUACUGGGUAGCUAGAGGCAGGCAGGGGAGAUCGGAAUUCCUGGUGUAGCGGUGAAAUGCGCAGAUAUCAGGAGGAACACCGGUGGCGAAGGCGGAUCUCUGGGCCUGUCCUGACGCUCAGGCGCGAAAGCUAGGGAGCAAACAGG
RNAcentral lists this ribosomal RNA (251 nucleotides) under uncultured bacterium. RNAcentral describes it as "partial 16S ribosomal RNA". It matches the Rfam family "Bacterial small subunit ribosomal RNA", at positions 524 to 776 of the family's 1533-position model. The record is from RNAcentral.